GUGCCAGCAGCCGCGGUAAGACGAACCGUGCGAACGUUAUUCGGAAUCACUGGGCUUAAAGCGCGUGUAGGCGGGCCAUCACGUCGGUCGCUGAAAGCCCCCGGCUCAACCGGGGAACGGGCGCCGAUACGAGUGGCCUGGAGGGGGGUAGGGGGACCUGGAACUUCCGGUGGAGCGGUGAAAUGCGUUGAGAUCGGAAGGAACGCCCGUGGCGAAAGCGAGGUCCUGGACCCCAUCUGACGCUGAGACGCGAAAGCCAGGGGAGCGAACGGGAUUAGAAACCCUCGUAGUCC
Molecule: ribosomal RNA, 293 nt
Filed under: uncultured bacterium
Lineage: Bacteria
Description: partial 16S ribosomal RNA
Rfam family: Bacterial small subunit ribosomal RNA
Source: RNAcentral